Molecule: long non-coding RNA, 494 nt
Organism: Armigeres subalbatus
Lineage: Eukaryota; Metazoa; Arthropoda; Insecta; Diptera; Culicidae
Exons: 2
Source: RefSeq, a predicted model, not a curated record
GUUAGUUUAUUUUACUGUAGAAGAAACACAUUAAGGAACAUUUGCACUUAACCAACCACAGAUUGCAUCGCUGAAUUUAGCAGCCAUAUCAUUCACAUCCUCACUGACGUAAAUAAAACUCCAUUCCAGACUGAACAGAGGCAGUUGUCUGUUGCCAGAAACAUCACAGCGGACGCUAAGUGGUGGAUGGUGGAAAUCGACUGGUAGCAAGGGAUCUUCUGCAGCAUGUACCAAAAUACGACUGUGUAUAGGAGCGAAAAUCAAGUCGAGUGUAGAACAAUGCAUCGCAAUAAGGUAAAAGCAAUACACAACCUUUGUAAUAACAUGAAUUUUCUUGUUAGGCUCAGUCGUAACACUACAGAGCUACUUAAAGCUAUUGUAAAUUAAUACAAAUUAACAAAUAAAUUAUCCAUAUUAGUUUUCAUAGCAUUUCGAAAGUAUAUAUAAUGAAUAAUAAAGGAGGCCUCGUUCUCAUUCUGUAUUAUUACGUUAAA